AGAGUUUGAUCAUGGCUCAGAACUAACGCUAGCGGCGUGCUUAACACAUGCAAGUCGUACGAGAAAAUUCGCUUCGGCGGAUGAGUAAAGUGGCGCACGGGUGAGUAACACGUGGAUAAUCUACCCUUCGGUAGGGAAUAACCCGCUGAAAAGCGGGCCAAUACCCAAUAAUACUAUAAUACUUUGGUGUGAUAGUUAAAGAUAGCCUCUAUAUAUAAGCUUUCGCCGGGGGAUGAGUCCGCGUACCAUUAGCUUGUUGGUGGGGUAAUGGCCUACCAAGGCUACGAUGGUUAGCUGGUCUGAGAGGACGAUCAGCCACACUGGAACUGAAACACGGUCCAGACUCCUACGGGAGGCAGCAGUGAGGAAUUUUGCGCAAUGGGAGAAAUCCUGACGCAGCAACGCCGCGUGAGUGAGGAAGGCCUUCGGGUCGUAAAGCUCUGUCAGGUGGGAAGAAAUGUUUGGAUGCUAAUAUCCUGCGUGCUUGACGGUACCGCCAGAGGAAGCACCGGCAAACUCCGUGCCAGCAGCCGCGGUAAUACGGGGGGUGCGAGCGUUGUUCGGAAUUAUUGGGCGUAAAGAGCGUGUAGGCGGCCAGGGUAAGUCAGAUGUGAAAGUCCCGGGCUCAACCUGGGAAGUGCAUUUGAUACUGCCUGGCUGGAGUAAGGGAGAGGAAAGUGGAAUUCCUGGUGUAGGGGUGAAAUUCGUAGAUAUCAGGAGGAACACCGGUGGCGAAGGCGGCUUUCUGGCUCUAUACUGACGCUGAGACGCGAAAGCGUGGGUAGCAAACAGGAUUAGAUACCCUGGUAGUCCACGCUGUAAACUAUGUUCACUAGGUGUUGGGGGUAUUGACCCCCUCAGUGCCGCAGCUAACGCAUUAAGUGAACCGCCUGGGGAGUACGGUCGCAAGACUAAAACUCAAAGGAAUUGACGGGGGCCCGCACAAGCGGUGGAGCAUGUGGUUUAAUUCGAUGCAACGCGAAGAACCUUACCUGGACUUGACAUCCCGAGAAUCCCCUGGAAACAGGAGAGUGCCUCUUCGAGAACCCUGGUGACAGUGGUGGCCUGGUGGCCUCCACUUCUGUCCUGGGAAGGUUGGGUAAAGU
Molecule: ribosomal RNA, 1106 nt
Filed under: uncultured bacterium
Lineage: Bacteria
Description: bacterial SSU rRNA
Rfam family: Bacterial small subunit ribosomal RNA
Source: RNAcentral